This 148-nucleotide non-coding RNA is filed under the name Homo sapiens (human). Lineage: Eukaryota; Metazoa; Chordata; Mammalia; Primates; Hominidae. The record is from Rfam by way of RNAcentral.
GCCAGGUAUAGUGGUGCAUACCUGUAAUCCUAGCUACUUGGGAGGCUGAGGCAAGAGAAUCGCUUGAACCCAGGAGGCAGAGGCUGCAGUGAGCUGAGAUCACACCACUGCACUCCAGCCUGGGUGACAAAGCGAGACUCUGUCUCAA